This 911-nucleotide long non-coding RNA is filed under the name Marmota monax (woodchuck). Lineage: Eukaryota; Metazoa; Chordata; Mammalia; Rodentia; Sciuridae. The record is from RNAcentral.
GAAUGUUUGAAAGUUUCACUUUCCAUAGUUGUUUUCAGCUAUGACAAUAUAUGUAAUCUCAAGUCAGUCUCUAAAUAGAGCCAUCAGAAUGAGAAGUACAGAGACUACAUGGUUAAAAAGGGAGCAUGGGAGACGGGGUCUUGGUUUGUCCUGUUAUUCCCUUCUGUGUGUGUGUGUGUGUGUGUGUGUGUGUAUUUAGGUGACUCCAGAGUUGUGGUACUCUGUUCCAGGAUGAUGGUGGGUAGGUGUCCACUUGACAGGGAACAUGGAUGCUCAAACUCCUGAGAUUGAGACUUGGAAACAUUCCCCUUAGAGAGUUGUAGGCAGAGCCUGCUGUAACUCUCAAUCUUAGAUUAUUCCUCCUUUUAGAUUUCUCUCCUGAAUGCAGUUACAAAGAUGCCCACUCACAUACUGAUGUUGCUACUCCCAGAGCUGGAAAUGCUACAGUGAUUUUCUUUGGAGUGUGAGAUUCUAGGUUACUUAGUGUUUCUUCCAUCCCAUUUUUAUAGCUUUAUUCCAUAAAACUAAUUUGAAUCCUUUUAUACUUAGAUAAAAGUAACUUCUAUUAAAGAUAAAAUAACAUGAAAUAAUACGUACCAAAGAUCGGGUCCUCUCAUGAAAUAUUGGAACAUACAUGAGUCAUUGAAAUUUUGAGACACAGAGAGCAUUUGGUAUCAUUGAUAUAGAAGUAAGUUAGCUCAAGAACAGCCUUCGGAAUCAGGCCUUUUAAUUUGGAAGGAUCUUCUGAAUUCAUUGUAAAUAAUAAGAAGAAACUUUAGGGCCAAAUGAAUGGAGAUGAAUCAGAAGUAGCCAACAUUUCCCAGGCCUUUAGAUGCUUAUUUUACUCACUUUAACUUUAUCUAUGAAGGGACAUGAUUAAUAGGUUGUCUGUGACAUUUCCUCAACUCCAG